This is a non-coding RNA of Microcebus murinus (gray mouse lemur), 3928 nucleotides long. Lineage: Eukaryota; Metazoa; Chordata; Mammalia; Primates; Cheirogaleidae. The record is from RefSeq and is a predicted model, not a curated record.
GGGAGUGGUAACAUCAGGACCAGUAAGUUUCUCUAAUGUUUCCAUUUGCUAGGAAGGGAGGGAGAGAAAGGUUGGGAUUGACCUGGCUGUUAAGGAGCACUGAGCCCUGCUGGGGUGAAGAAUUCCUGCUGAGCCCUGCCUGGUGCUGGCCUGCUGGUGACCCCAUGGUGACCCUAUGGACGAGCCACCCUAGGGCACCCCUGCAUUGCCUGCUUCUCUUGGACGUGGAGAUGGGGGUGAUGCAUGCUGAGUUCUGACUGGCUGAAUCCACUUACUGUUUCAUCAGAUGGUGUUUACACUUGUGCAGCUGCUCCACACCGUAUGCCUCUGCGGGCAGGAAGCCUGACCUUAGAGAAGAUUCUCCCACACCCGAGUCUGCGUGUGUCCCGAGGGAUGCCCCUGCGUGCUCUUCUCCCUGAAGGCGCCUCUGUUCCCGCCACGCCGUGAACACAGCACCAUGGCGUUCCGGGGCGGAGGAGAGGAGGUCCAGGGUUUUCUCUUACCUCGGAAGGGCGCUGCACUGCUCUGACGGACGGCUGAACACAAAGCAGAUGUAGGUAUUCAAAGGGAUCCCUGACCUCCAAGGUUAAGAACCACUGAAGGAGAACAAUUUAAGGUAAAAGUAGGCCUCUCGGGGAAGACAACCAUGCCCAAGGCCAGUUAUUGCAUUUGUGGGCUCUGAUGGGGCCCAGUUUGACACUAUUAGUCACAAAGACACAGGAGAUUCGGGGUAAAUGGAAAGUGUACUUUAUCACCUGUGCUUUGGGUGCCAUAUGUAAAACAUCAUUGACAAAUCCAAUGUCAUGAAAUGUUUUUUAUACAUGGUAUAAGGUGAGGGUCCAACUAAUUAUUUUGCUUGUGAUACCCAGGAUGUUUCUUCCAUUUAUUUGUGUCUUUUGACACUGUUUUGUAGUUUCAUUGUAUGAGUCUUUCACCUAGUUUUUUUUUUACUUCUUUUGUUGAUGUAUUGUCAAUGGAAUUGUUUCCUUAAUUUCCAUUUUGGAUUGUUCAUUGUUGGUGUGUAGCAAUACAACAGAUUUUCUGCAUGAUGACUUUGUAUCCUGUAAUUUAUUGAAUUCAUUUAUUAGCUGUAAUAGUUAAUCUUCCUUUCCAACUUGGAUGCCUUUCAUUUCUUUUUCUUGCCUAAUUGCUCUGAACUUCUAAUAUUAUAAUGAAUAGAAGUGGUGAAUGUGGGCAUCCUUGUCUUAUUCCAGAUAUUAGAAGAAAAGCUGUCAGUCUUCACCAUUGAGUAUGACAUUAGUUGUGUGUUUUUCAUAUAGGGUCUUCAUUUUGUUGAGGCAAUUUACUUCUAUUCCAAGUUUAAUUUGUCAUGUGGUUUUUGUCCUUCAGUCUGUUAAUUGUGGUACAUUACAUGGAUUUGCAUAUGUUGAAUCAGGCUUACAUUCCAGGAAUAAAUCCUACUCAUUCAAAUAAGCUGCUAAAUUUGGUAUUUUGUUGAGGAUUUCUACAUCAAUAUUUGUAUGGGAUUUUCUCUGUUACUUAUGUCUAUUAUAUUCUUCCUUCUAGCUUCUCAAUUCCUUUACAUAUAUGGCUGAAUGUGAGUGUCUUAAUUUCCCAGAGUCUCACCUCCUCAAUAUCAUAACUUUGCCAUGCAAGGGUAACUGAAAAUGCCACAAAAUUGAGUGUUUGGUUGCUGGAGAACUUUCUAGAGCUCAUAUAGGGGCAGCUCAGCCAGUGUCCAGGUGUUUUCACGAGGGAACAAAGACUUUGAACCUCCUCAUCUGCCAUUUUGCUGAUGUCCCUCAACCACACAUGGGGGAAUUUUUAAAGGACUAUUAUUUCCGUCAUUCUCAUUGCUAGUUUGACUACAUCCCUACUGCCACAGAGUCACCUCCUAUCAGUCAAGUUCCAGCAGGUACUGGCCAAUGCUUAUCUUGUUUGUUCUUUUGGAUGCAUUUUGAUCCUUUCUUCUGGCGAAAGGUCCUCCAUGGGUCUCUGUGAAGAUACAUUCCAGGGGGUUUCUUUCCCCCUUCUUCCCAAAGUUUAAUUAGUACCAAGGUCCUGUCCCUUUUUUUCAUCCCAUGCUUGCCCACUCCCUGGGUGAUGCCACCACUUAUAUACUGAUGACUUUCAUGAGCAUCUCUGCUUCGAUGUUUCAUGAACAUAUCCAAAACCUCCAGCCAAAUCUUGGUGUCAUCCCUGAUAGCCAAUGGAUGCCUAGUUCUGUACUGAUCACCAUACUGCUAACAGAAUAAAAGUCCAAUUCUGAUUGUCCCAUGCCUGCUUGAAAAUAUUUCUAUGUUCUGGUAUCUGCUUUUGCCUUUAUUCCUUCACACAUGCUCAUAUAGGACACAUUAUAUACCCAAGACAGGUGUCCCAUAAAUGUAUGUUUAAUUAUUACUUGAGGGCAGGUUGUUGGAGCUAAGAAGAUAUUGUCAUGCUUCUCAUAGACUUGGAGGCAGGCAUAUGAGGAAAUAUUUCCCUGUAACUAGUGUUACCUGGAAGCUUUUAGAAAUUCAGCAUCCCAAGCUCUACCUCGACCUACCACAUGAGAAUAAAGACCCCCAGGUGAUACACACUGGUCUAGUGGAUUUGGGGGAUGGUUGAGGAGAAGGAAUAGAAAAAAAACCUGAGUAUUUUUCUGUUAGGAAAAGUGAUCAACUGUGUACCAUAUGUUGCCUGAUGUGCUCACUAUCACAAACCAGCAAUAACCCUUGAGGGCAUGGGAGCUCCAUGAUUAUGAAGUAUAGAUAAGGAGGCUCCAGACAGACAUGUUGAUUGGCCAGCAUUGCCCCAGAUUUACCUGGUCCACAAAUGGCUUAUGAGUUGCAAGUGAACUCAGUGGCCAGUAACAUUUGAUCUUCAUAAGAGAUGGCCAUAGUGUGGUAAGGUGUGAUUGUUUUGCAAAAAUCACACCUGGGGGUGGGAGUGAAGGGACCUGAAUAUAUGGCCAAAUACAGUUACACAAAGAAUUAAAAGCCUGUUGUUUUGGGGUGUCCUAGCUGGCCACGCUUAAUGGUAUGGCUCAGAUGCCAACCAACCCAAAACUAUGCCUGCCCAAUCAGAAUGGUGAUUCUACUAAUUAGUGCCAGCCACAGACAAACUAGAAUAAAUGUUACUACCCAAAUAGGUAGUUCUUGCAUGCCUAGUAGGUUUUGAACAUAGACUUCUGCAGAAACAGAGUAUAUGCAAUUAUAUCAUUUCCCCCAAGCACCUCAUUUUUUUUUUGGUGCCAACAGCAUUCUAAAAUGGUGGAGGGAUCAGAUGUGUAGGAUGACUGUUCCAAUAGAGGCCUUAUUUCAAAUCACAAUUAAACUUUCCCCUCCAAAUGGAGAGAGUCAUGGUUCCUCUAUUCUAUUCAGAGGAGGCCCCAGGGGUCAAACGAGUCUGUUUGUGUGCUCAGCUUGCCUGGGACUUAACCUAUAGGCAGAGAAGGGAGUGGGUGGUUACAAAGUGAUCUGGCUAAGCUUCUACCUUUGCUGGCUGGAUCAAUGGUUCUUUACCCUGGCUGGAUAUCAGCAUCACCCGAGGAGUUUCUAAAAAUGACCCAGGCUUGGAUCCCACCCCAGAGCAAUUGACUUAGAAUCUCUAGGAUGAAUAGCCUCAAUGUUAGGCUUUUAAAAAAGUUGACUCAGGGAUUGUAACCAUGCACUCCAGCUAGGAACCCUUGGCUGAGGACAAUACCACACUCCCAGAUGGAACUUCUCAGAACUUUAAGUCACCAGCCCCAGUGAGAAGAGAAUGGGGGCCUCAGGGUAGAGGGAAAUCAACAGGAAAAGAGCAAUGGUGUGGUGAUGUGUCAGAGAAGAGUAUCAGAAACUCUGGGGUUUAAGGCAGGGGUACUGACACAGGGGAAUGUGAAAGGUCUGUUAUCACAGAGGAGGUGGCAAUGGUGGAAUUUUCCUUUCUACUGGGGCAGGGUCCACACCUUUAGAUGUUUCCCUUACAAAUAAAACCCUCUCUGGCU